Molecule: microRNA precursor, 103 nt
Filed under: Marmota monax (woodchuck)
Lineage: Eukaryota; Metazoa; Chordata; Mammalia; Rodentia; Sciuridae
Source: RNAcentral
AAUGGGGUAGCUGGGUCAAAUGGUGUUUCCAUUCCAACUUCUCUAAGGAAUCUCCAUACUGCUUUCCAGAUUGAUUGCACCAAUUUGCAGUCCCACCAGCAAU